AGUGAACGCUGGCGGUAGGCCUAACACAUGCAAGUCGAACGGCAGCACAGUAAGAGCUUGCUCUUACGGGUGGCGAGUGGCGGACGGGUGAGGAGUACAUCGGAAUCUACUUUUUCGUGGGGGAUAACGUAGGGAAACUUACGCUAAUACCGCAUACGACCUACGGGUGAAAGCAGGGGAUCUUCGGACCUUGCGCGAUUGAAUGAGCCGAUGUCGGAUUAGCUAGUUGGCGGGGUAAAGGCCCACCAAGGCGACGAUCCGUAGCUGGUCUGAGAGGAUGAUCAGCCACACUGGAACUGAGACACGGUCCAGACUCCUACGGGAGGCAGCAGUGGGGAAUAUUGGACAAUGGGCGCAAGCCUGAUCCAGCCAUACCGCGUGAGUGAAGAAGGCCUUCGGGUUGUAAAGCCCUUUUGUUGGGAAAGAAAAGCAGCAGGUUAAUACCCCGCUGUUCUGACGGUACCCAAAGAAUAAGCACCGGCUAACUUCGUG
This 492-nucleotide ribosomal RNA is filed under the name uncultured bacterium. RNAcentral describes it as "partial 16S ribosomal RNA". It matches the Rfam family "Bacterial small subunit ribosomal RNA", at positions 29 to 507 of the family's 1533-position model. The record is from RNAcentral.